ACACUCAUCUGGCAAGGGAGAGACACUUUGAUCAUUAAGGAGGUUUUUCUGUGGUGAGGGCCAUCCCUUACACUCCAAAGGUGCUGACCCCUGGAUUUCCCCAAAUGUGGGAAAUAUGACCAAUAUUUUCC
This 131-nucleotide small nuclear RNA is filed under the name Varanus komodoensis (Komodo dragon). RNAcentral describes it as "U1 spliceosomal RNA (ENSVKKG00000011422.1)". It matches the Rfam family "U1 spliceosomal RNA". Rfam says of the family: U1 is a small nuclear RNA (snRNA) component of the spliceosome (involved in pre-mRNA splicing). Its 5' end forms complementary base pairs with the 5' splice junction, thus defining the 5' donor site of an intron. The record is from RNAcentral. Lineage: Eukaryota; Metazoa; Chordata; Lepidosauria; Squamata; Varanidae.